RNAcentral lists this unclassified non-coding RNA (288 nucleotides) under Chaetomium sp. RNAcentral describes it as "partial contains 5.8S ribosomal RNA, internal transcribed spacer 2, and large subunit ribosomal RNA". The stretch from base 1 to 71 matches the Rfam family "5.8S ribosomal RNA", at positions 84 to 154 of the family's 154-position model. The record is from RNAcentral. Lineage: Eukaryota; Fungi; Ascomycota; Sordariomycetes; Sordariales; Chaetomiaceae.
GUGAGUCAUCGAAUCUUUGAACGCACAUUGCGCCCGCCAGUAUUCUGGCGGGCAUGCCUGUUCGAGCGUCAUUUCAACCAUCAAGCCCCGGGCUUGUGUUGGGGACCUGCGGCUGCCGCAGGCCCUGAAAACCAGUGGCGGGCUCGCUAGUCACUCCGAGCGUAGUAGUCUACACCUCGCUCAGGGCGUGCUGCGGGUUCCGGCCGUUAAAAGCCUUUUUUUACCCAAGGUUGACCUCGGAUCAGGUAGGAAGACCCGCUGAACUUAAGCAUAUCAAUAAGCGGAGGA